UACGUAGGGUCCAAGCGUUGUCCGGAAUUAUUGGGCGUAAAGAGCUCGUAGGCGGCUUGUCGCGUCGUCCGUGAAAACCUGGGGCUCAACCCCAGGCUUGCGGUCGAUACGGGCAGGCUCGAGUUCGGUAGGGGAGACUGGAAUUCCUGGUGUAGCGGUGAAAUGCGCAGAUAUCAGGAGGAACACCGGUGGCGAAGGCGGGUCUCUGGGCCGAUACUGACGCUGAGGAGCGAAAGCGUGGGGAGCGAACAGG
Molecule: ribosomal RNA, 253 nt
Filed under: uncultured bacterium
Lineage: Bacteria
Description: partial 16S ribosomal RNA
Rfam family: Bacterial small subunit ribosomal RNA
Source: RNAcentral